This 448-nucleotide ribosomal RNA is filed under the name uncultured bacterium. RNAcentral describes it as "bacterial SSU rRNA". It matches the Rfam family "Bacterial small subunit ribosomal RNA", at positions 355 to 825 of the family's 1533-position model. The record is from RNAcentral.
UCGGGAAUUUUGGGCAAUGGGCGAAAGCCUGACCCAGCAACGCCGCGUGAAGGAUGAAGUAUUUCGGUAUGUAAACUUCGAAAGAAUAGGAAGAAUAAAUGACGGUACUAUUUAUAAGGUCCGGCUAACUACGUGCCAGCAGCCGCGGUAAUACGUAGGGACCAAGCGUUGUUCGGAUUUACUGGGCGUAAAGGGCGCGUAGGCGGCAAUUCAAGUCAUCUGUGAAAUCUCCGGGGCUUAACUCGGAACGGUCAGAUGAUACUGCUUUGCUAGAGUGCAGAAGGGGCAAUCGGAAUUCUUGGUGUAGCGGUGAAAUGCGUAGAUAUCAAGAGGAACACCUGAGGCGAAGGCGGGUUGCUAGGCUGACACUGACGCUGAGGCGCGAAAGCCAGGGGAGCAAACGGGAUUAGAUACCCUAGUAGUCCCUGAGCGGGCUGGCAAGGCGCAU